GGCUGGUUCGAAGAUAAUGUUAUCUCAAUUAAUUGUUCACAGUCAGUUACAGAUUAAACUCCUUGUGCUACUCUUUCCCCCACUUCUCACUGCUGCACUUGACUAGUCUAGA
This 112-nucleotide Y RNA is filed under the name Mandrillus leucophaeus (drill). RNAcentral's name for it is "Y RNA (ENSMLEG00000011915.1)". It matches the Rfam family "Y RNA". Rfam says of the family: Y RNAs are components of the Ro ribonucleoprotein particle (Ro RNP), in association with Ro60 and La proteins. The Y RNAs and Ro60 and La proteins are well conserved, but the function of the Ro RNP is not known. The record is from Rfam by way of RNAcentral. Lineage: Eukaryota; Metazoa; Chordata; Mammalia; Primates; Cercopithecidae.